CCUACGGGCGGCUGCAGUGGGGAAUAUUGCACAAUGGGCGCAAGCCUGAUGCAGCCAUGCCGCGUGUGUGAAGAAGGCCUUCGGGUUGUAAAGCACUUUCAGCGGGGAGGAAGGCGUUAAGGUUAAUAACCUUGUCGAUUGACGUUACCCGCAGAAGAAGCACCGGCUAACUCCGUGCCAGCAGCCGCGGUAAUACGGAGGGUGCAAGCGUUAAUCGGAAUUACUGGGCGUAAAGCGCACGCAGGCGGUCUGUCAAGUCGGAUGUGAAAGCCCCGGGCUCAACCUGGGAACUGCAUUCGAAACUGGCAGGCUAGAGUAUGGUAGAGGGGGGUAGAAUUCCAGGUGUAGCGGUGAAAUGCGUAGAAAUCUGGAGGAAUACCGGUGGCGAAGGCGGCCCCCUGGACAAAGACUGACGCUCAGGUGCGAAAGCGUGGGGAGCAAACAGGAUUAGAUACCCGAGUAGUC
Molecule: ribosomal RNA, 465 nt
Filed under: uncultured Klebsiella sp.
Lineage: Bacteria; Pseudomonadati; Pseudomonadota; Gammaproteobacteria; Enterobacterales; Enterobacteriaceae
Description: bacterial SSU rRNA
Rfam family: Bacterial small subunit ribosomal RNA
Source: RNAcentral